RNAcentral lists this ribosomal RNA (213 nucleotides) under uncultured Staphylococcus sp. RNAcentral describes it as "partial 16S ribosomal RNA". It matches the Rfam family "Bacterial small subunit ribosomal RNA", at positions 149 to 355 of the family's 1533-position model. The record is from RNAcentral. Lineage: Bacteria; Bacillati; Bacillota; Bacilli; Caryophanales; Staphylococcaceae.
ACUGGAAACCGGAGCUAAUACCGGAUAAUAUUUCGAACCGCAUGGUUCGAUAGUGAAAGAUGGUUUUGCUAUCACUUAUAGAUGGACCCGCGCCGUAUUAGCUAGUUGGUAAGGUAACGGCUUACCAAGGCGACGAUACGUAGCCGACCUGAGAGGGUGAUCGGCCACACUGGAACUGAGACACAGUCCAGACUCCUACGGGAGGCAGCAGCC